RNAcentral lists this unclassified non-coding RNA (399 nucleotides) under uncultured fungus. Its description in RNAcentral is "sequence contains ITS1". The record is from RNAcentral. Lineage: Eukaryota; Fungi.
GCCGUCAAUUCCUUUAAGUUUCAACCUUGCGGCCGUACUCCCCAGGCGGUCAACUUCACGCGUUAGCUACGUUACUGAACAGCAAGCCGUCCAACAACCAGUUGACAUCGUUUAGGGCGUGGACUACCAGGGUAUCUAAUCCUGUUUGCUCCCCACGCUUUCGUGCAUGAGCGUCAGUGCAGGCCCAGGGGAUUGCCUUCGCCAUCGGUGUUCCUCCGCAUAUCUACGCAUUUCACUGCUACACGCGGAAUUCCAUCCCCCUCUGCCGCACUCCAGCUGUGCAGUCACAAGUUAAGCCCGGGGCUUUCACACUCGACUUGCUCGGCCGCCUGCGCACACUUUACGCCCAGUAAUUCCGAUUAACGCUCGCACCCUACGUAUUACCGCGGCUGCUGGCAC